This 529-nucleotide ribosomal RNA is filed under the name Aeromonas sp. Tf 249. RNAcentral describes it as "bacterial SSU rRNA". It matches the Rfam family "Bacterial small subunit ribosomal RNA", at positions 8 to 524 of the family's 1533-position model. Lineage: Bacteria; Pseudomonadati; Pseudomonadota; Gammaproteobacteria; Aeromonadales; Aeromonadaceae. The record is from RNAcentral.
AGAGUUUGAUCCUGGCUCAGAUUGAACGCUGGCGGCAGGCCUAACACAUGCAAGUCGAGCGGCAGCGGGAAAGUAGCUUGCUACUUUUGCCGGCGAGCGGCGGACGGGUGAGUAAUGCCUGGGAAAUUGCCCAGUCGAGGGGGAUAGCAGUUGGAAACGACUGCUAAUACCGCAUACGCCCUACGGGGGAAAGCAGGGGACCUUCGGGCCUUGCGCGAUUGGAUAUGCCCAGGUGGGAUUAGCUAGUUGGUGGGGUCAUGGCUCACCAAGGCGACGAUCCCUAGCUGGUCUGAGAGGAUGAUCAGCCACACUGGAACUGAGACACGGUCCAGACUCCUACGGGAGGCAGCAGUGGGGAAUAUUGCACAAUGGGGGAAACCCUGAUGCAGCCAUGCCGCGUGUGUGAAGAAGGCCUUCGGGUUGUAAAGCACUUUCAGCGAGGAGGAAAGGGUAGCGGCUAAUAUCCGUUACCUGUGACGUUACUCGCAGAAGAAGCACCGGCUAACUCCGUGCCAGCAGCCGCGGUAAU